Molecule: ribosomal RNA, 468 nt
Filed under: uncultured bacterium
Lineage: Bacteria
Description: partial 16S ribosomal RNA
Rfam family: Bacterial small subunit ribosomal RNA
Source: RNAcentral
GAUGAACGCUGGCGGCGUGCUUAACACAUGCAAGUCGAACGGUGAAGGCGGAGCUUGCUCUGCUGGAUCAGUGGCGAACGGGUGAGUAACACGUGAGCAAUCUGCCCCUGACUCUGGGAUAAGCGCUGGAAACGGCGUCUAAUACUGGAUACGAGCUGCGAAGGCAUCUUCAGCAGCUGGAAAGAACUUCGGUCAGGGAUGAGCUCGCGGCCUAUCAGCUUGUUGGUGAGGUAACGGCUCACCAAGGCGUCGACGGGUAGCCGGCCUGAGAGGGUGACCGGCCACACUGGGACUGAGACACGGCCCAGACUCCUACGGGAGGCAGCAGUGGGGAAUAUUGCACAAUGGGCGAAAGCCUGAUGCAGCAACGCCGCGUGAGGGACGACGGGCUUCGGGUUGUAAACCUCUUUUAGCAGGGAAGAAGCGAAAGUGACGGUACCUGCAGAAAAAGCGCCGGCUAACUACGUG